This is a non-coding RNA of Acanthosepion pharaonis, 113 nucleotides long. NCBI's taxonomy places the organism in Eukaryota, Metazoa, Mollusca, Cephalopoda, Sepiida, Sepiidae. The record is from the annotation of a GenBank genome assembly.
UCCGGCUAUAUCACGUUGAAACACCGGAUCCUGUACGGUCACUGAAGUUAAGCAACGUCGAGCCUGGUCAGUACCUAGAGGAGUGACCAUUUGCGAAUACAAGGUGUUGUAAG